CCUUAACUCUGCAAUCUAAAACAUGGCAGUUUCAGAGGAACUGCAAUAUUUAUAUUGACAGGUUAAGAUUGCCUCUAGUGGCUGUCUACCAGUGUCUACCAGACAGCCACUAGAGGCACUUCCUGCUGUUUCAUAGAGUUUGACUCUGUUAAACGACGCUGGACAUCCUCACACUUUGCAUUAAGGAAGUCCAGAUUCUUAGAUCCUCCACAGGAAAGUAUUUAUUAAAUGCUUUAUGAGCGGUGAGACUGUAGGGGCAUGAUAUAUAC
Molecule: non-coding RNA, 269 nt
Organism: Pelobates cultripes (western spadefoot toad)
Lineage: Eukaryota; Metazoa; Chordata; Amphibia; Anura; Pelobatidae
Source: the annotation of a GenBank genome assembly